GCAAGUCGAGCGGAAACGAUCCUAGCUUGCUCUCUAGGCGUCGAGUGGCGGACGGGUGAGUAAUGCAUAGGAAUCUGCCCAGUAGCGGGGGACAACUUGGGGAAACUCAAGCUAAUACCGCAUACGCCCUACGGGGGAAAGCGGGGGACCUUCGGGCCUCGCACUAUUGGAUGAGCCUAUGUCUGAUUAGCUUGUUGGUGGGGUAAUGGCCUACCAAGGCAACGAUCAGUAGCUGGUCUGAGAGGACGAUC
Molecule: ribosomal RNA, 251 nt
Filed under: uncultured bacterium
Lineage: Bacteria
Description: partial 16S ribosomal RNA
Rfam family: Bacterial small subunit ribosomal RNA
Source: RNAcentral